CAGGGAUUACCUCAGUAACGGCGAGUGAAGCGGUAACAGCUCAAAUUUGAAAUCUGGCGCUUUCAGCGUCCGAGUUGUAAUUUGUAGAAGAUGCUUUGGGUGUGGCUCCGGUCUAAGUUCCUUGGAACAGGACGUCAUAGAGGGUGAGAAUCCCGUAUGUGACUGGCUGCCUUCGCCUAUGUAAAGCUCUUUCGACGAGUCGAGUUGUUUGGGAAUGCAGCUCUAAAUGGGAGGUAUAUUUCUUCUAAAGCUAAAUAUUGGCCAGAGACCGAUAGCGCACAAGUAGAGUGAUCGAAAGAUGAAAAGCACUUUGGAAAGAGAGUUAAACAGUACGUGAAAUUGUUGAAAGGGAGCGCUUGCAACCAGACUUGCCUGCGGUCGAUCAUCCUGGGUUUUCCCUGGUGCACUCGAUCGUGGUCAGGCCAGCAUCGGUUUCGGUGGUGGGAUAAAGGCCUUGGGAAUGUAGCAGUCUUCGGGCUGUGUUAUAGCCCUCGGUGCAAUGCCGCCUACCGGGACCGAGGACCGCGCUUCGGCUAGGAUGCUGGCGUAAUGGUUGUAAGCGACCCGUCUUGAAACACGGACCAAGGAGUCUAACAUCUAUGCGAGUGUUUGGGUGUUAAACCCAUACGCGUAAUUAACGUGAACGGAGGUGAGAACCCUUAAGGGUGCAUCAUCGACCGAUCCUGAUGUCUUCGGAUGGAUUUGAGUAAGAGCAUAGCUGUUGGGACCCGAAAGAUGGUGAACUAUGCCUAAAUAGGGUGAAGCCAGAGGAAACUCUGGUGGAGGCUCGCAGCGGUUCUGACGUGCAAAUCGAUCGUCAAAUUUGGGUAUAGGGGCGAAAGACUAAUCGAACCAU
Molecule: ribosomal RNA, 856 nt
Filed under: Hymenoscyphus albidoides
Lineage: Eukaryota; Fungi; Ascomycota; Leotiomycetes; Helotiales; Helotiaceae
Description: eukaryotic LSU rRNA
Rfam family: Eukaryotic large subunit ribosomal RNA
Source: RNAcentral